UCCAGAGUAGCUCAAUGGUAGAGCACGCGGCUGUUAACCGUGUGGUUGCAGGUUCGAGCCCUGCCUCUGGAGCCA
This 75-nucleotide transfer RNA is filed under the name Verrucomicrobiota bacterium. RNAcentral describes it as "Verrucomicrobia bacterium (freshwater metagenome) tRNA-Asn". It matches the Rfam family "tRNA". From Rfam's summary of the family: Transfer RNA (tRNA) molecules are approximately 80 nucleotides in length. Lineage: Bacteria; Pseudomonadati; Verrucomicrobiota. The record is from RNAcentral.